Molecule: unclassified non-coding RNA, 90 nt
Filed under: Pseudomonas yamanorum
Lineage: Bacteria; Pseudomonadati; Pseudomonadota; Gammaproteobacteria; Pseudomonadales; Pseudomonadaceae
Source: RNAcentral
UGUGGGAGCGGGCUUGCUCGCGAAGGCGGUGUGUCAGUCAGCACAUGUAUUCACUGACACUCCGCUUUCGCGAGCAAGCCCGCUCCCACA